GAUGAACGCUGGCGGCGUGCCUAAUACAUGCAAGUCGAGCGAACAGAUAAGGAGCUUGCUCCUUUGACGUUAGCGGCGGACGGGUGAGUAACACGUGGAUAACCUACCUAUAAGACUGGGAUAACUUCGGGAAACCGGAGCUAAUACCGGAUAACAUAUUGAACCGCAUGGUUCAAUAGUGAAAGGCGGCUUUGCUGUCACUUAUAGAUGGAUCCGCGCCGUAUUGGCUAGUUGGUAAGGUAACGGCUUACCAAGGCAACGAAAGGUAACCGACCUGAGAGGGUGAUCGGCCACACUGGAACGAGGAGACGGUCAAGACUCCUAGGGGAGGCAGCAGGAGGGAAUCUUUCGGAGAGGGAGAAAGGCUGACGGAGCAACGACGCGUGAGUGAUGAAGGUCUUAGGAUCGGAAAACUCUGUUAGCAGGGAAGAACAAAAGGGUAAGUAACUGUGCACAUCAUGAAGGGACCUGAUCAGAAAGCCACGGCUAACUACGUG
RNAcentral lists this ribosomal RNA (497 nucleotides) under uncultured bacterium. RNAcentral describes it as "partial 16S ribosomal RNA". It matches the Rfam family "Bacterial small subunit ribosomal RNA", at positions 28 to 507 of the family's 1533-position model. The record is from RNAcentral.